AUGCACGUUGCAAAGACAAUGAUACACAUAGAGAGCUAGAAUGAAUUCCUGUGCGAAUCGAACUGAAUGAGUCUCCUCCUCCAUAACUCUAGUCAGGAUAGUAAGCAACCCCUCUCUCCCAGCCCGCUGCUUUUCUUGGUAAGGUAGGUUGUGGGUAGAAGUUAAAGAUGAUCUAACCCUCGAAGUUUGAGCCCUCAUAUAGCCGUACCAAUAAUAAGGAAUAGGCCCACGGGGAUAAUGUCUAAAGAGAAGGUCCAGUAGAUUGAGUUU
Molecule: long non-coding RNA, 270 nt
Filed under: Medicago truncatula (barrel medic)
Lineage: Eukaryota; Viridiplantae; Streptophyta; Magnoliopsida; Fabales; Fabaceae
Description: lncRNA gene3093
Source: RNAcentral